RNAcentral lists this ribosomal RNA (424 nucleotides) under uncultured prokaryote. Its description in RNAcentral is "bacterial SSU rRNA". It matches the Rfam family "Bacterial small subunit ribosomal RNA", at positions 355 to 796 of the family's 1533-position model. The record is from RNAcentral.
UGGGGAAUCUUGGACAAUGGGGGCAACCCUGAUCCAGCCAUGCCGCGUGGGUGAAGAAGGCCUUAGGGUUGUAAAGCCCUUUCAGUCGUGACGAUGAUGACGGUAGCGACAGAAGAAGCCCCGGCUAACUCCGUGCCAGCAGCCGCGGUAAUACGGAGGGGGCAAGCGUUGUUCGGAUUUACUGGGCGUAAAGGGCGCGUAGGCGGACGGUCAAGUCAGAGGUGAAAGGCCUGGGCUCAACCUGGGAACGGCCUCUAAAACUGGUGAUCUAGAGACCGGAAGAGGAUGGCGGAAUUCCUAGUGUAGAGGUGAAAUUCGUAGAUAUUAGGAAGAACACCGGUGGCGAAGGCGGCCAUCUGGUCCGGAUCUGACGCUGAGGCGCGAAAGCGUGGGGAGCAAACAGGAUUAGAUACCCGUGUAGUCC